CUAUUCGCAUAAACAGCAGGA
RNAcentral lists this non-coding RNA (21 nucleotides) under Arabidopsis thaliana (thale cress). Lineage: Eukaryota; Viridiplantae; Streptophyta; Magnoliopsida; Brassicales; Brassicaceae. The record is from RNAcentral.